Molecule: non-coding RNA, 88 nt
Filed under: Arthrobacter sp.
Lineage: Bacteria; Bacillati; Actinomycetota; Actinomycetes; Micrococcales; Micrococcaceae
Also listed under: 1 other name
Description: ZTP sequence
Rfam family: ZMP/ZTP riboswitch aptamer (pfl RNA motif)
About the family: Previously known as pfl RNA. ZMP is also known as AICAR.
Source: RNAcentral
UGGCCGUGUUGCAACUGGCGAUGAGGUGGGACACCACCGGGGAGUAACACGAGCGAAGACCUCACGAUCGUACGCCUGGGACGAGAGG